CAGCAGCCGCGGUAAUACGAUGGGGGCUAGCGUUGUUCGGAUUUACUGGGCGUAAAGGGCGCGUAGGCGGACUGAUAAGUCAGGGGUGAAAUCCCAAGGCUCAACCUUGGAACUGCCUUUGAUACUGUUUGUCUUGAGUUCGAGAGAGGUAAGUGGAACUGCGAGUGUAGAGGUGAAAUUCGUAGAUAUUCGCAAGAACACCAGUGGCGAAGGCGGCUUACUGGCUCGAUACUGACGCUGAGGCGCGAAAGCGUGGGGAGCAAACAGGAUUAGAUACCCCGGUAGUCCCUGUCUCUUAUAC
RNAcentral lists this ribosomal RNA (301 nucleotides) under uncultured bacterium. RNAcentral's name for it is "partial 16S ribosomal RNA". It matches the Rfam family "Bacterial small subunit ribosomal RNA", at positions 509 to 807 of the family's 1533-position model. The record is from RNAcentral.